UUUGUAUUUUUUAGCAGAGACGGGGUUUCACCAUGUUGACCAGGAUGGUCUCGAUCUCUUGACCUCGUGAUCCACCCGCCUCGGCCUCCCAAAGUGCUGGGAUUACAGGCUUGAGCGACCGCGCCUGGCCUGGAAAUAACUUUUUAAA
This is a long non-coding RNA of Cebus imitator (Panamanian white-faced capuchin), 148 nucleotides long. RefSeq lists it as uncharacterized. The record is from RefSeq and is a predicted model, not a curated record. Lineage: Eukaryota; Metazoa; Chordata; Mammalia; Primates; Cebidae. The transcript has 3 exons.